GAUCAGAUAGCUCAAUUGAUAGAGCAUCCGUCUAUAGUUCGGAGGGUCCCGGGUUCGAACCCCGGUCUGGCCG
This 73-nucleotide transfer RNA is filed under the name Mizuhopecten yessoensis (Yesso scallop). RNAcentral describes it as "tRNA-Tyr". It matches the Rfam family "tRNA". Rfam says of the family: Transfer RNA (tRNA) molecules are approximately 80 nucleotides in length. Their secondary structure includes four short double-helical elements and three loops (D, anti-codon, and T loops). The record is from Rfam by way of RNAcentral. Lineage: Eukaryota; Metazoa; Mollusca; Bivalvia; Pectinida; Pectinidae.